RNAcentral lists this ribosomal RNA (253 nucleotides) under uncultured bacterium. RNAcentral's name for it is "partial 16S ribosomal RNA". It matches the Rfam family "Bacterial small subunit ribosomal RNA", at positions 524 to 776 of the family's 1533-position model. The record is from RNAcentral.
GACGUAGGGCGCGAGCGUUGUCCGGAUUUAUUGGGCGUAAAGAGCUCGUAGGCGGCUUGUUGCGUCGUCCGUGAAAACCUGUGGCUCAACUACAGGCUUGCAGUCGAUACGGGCGGGCUGGAGUUCGGUAGGGGAGACUGGAAUUCCUGGUGUAGCGGUGAAAUGCGCAGAUAUCAGGAGGAACACCGGUGGCGAAGGCGGGUCUCUGGACAGUUCCUGACGCUGAGGCACGAAGGUCAGGGGAGCAAACGGG